Molecule: ribosomal RNA, 253 nt
Filed under: uncultured bacterium
Lineage: Bacteria
Description: partial 16S ribosomal RNA
Rfam family: Bacterial small subunit ribosomal RNA
Source: RNAcentral
UACAGAGGGAGCGAGCGUUGUUCGGAAUUACUGGGCGUAAAGGGCGCGUAGGCGGCCUCUUAAGUCGAACGUGAAAUCCCCAGGCUCAACCUGGGAACUGCGUCCGAUACUGGGAGGCUUGAAUUCGGGAGAGGGAUGUGGAAUUCCAGGUGUAGCGGUGAAAUGCGUAGAUAUCUGGAGGAACACCGGUGGCGAAGGCGGCAUCCUGGACCGGCAUUGACGCUGAGGCGCGAAAGCCAGGGGAGCAAACGGG